This 253-nucleotide ribosomal RNA is filed under the name uncultured bacterium. RNAcentral's name for it is "partial 16S ribosomal RNA". It matches the Rfam family "Bacterial small subunit ribosomal RNA", at positions 524 to 776 of the family's 1533-position model. The record is from RNAcentral.
UACGUAGGGGGCAAGCGUUGUCCGGAUUUAUUGGGCGUAAAGAGCGUGUAGGCGGCCGUACAGGUCAGCUGUGAAAACUCGAGGCUCAACCUCGAGACGUCGGUUGAAACCGUACGGCUAGAGUCCGGAAGAGGAGAGUGGAAUUCCCGGUGUAGCGGUGAAAUGCGCAGAUAUCGGGAAGAACACCCGUGGCGAAGGCGGCUCUCUGGGACGGUACUGACGCUGAGACGCGAAAGCGUGGGGAGCGAUCCGG